UGGCGGGUAGGGUAGGGAGGCUAGCCCUCUUCCGGAGCUCUAACGGGCUACAGGAGUGCCAGCAACCGUCGGGUAAAGCCAUCUCUCCUCUCUCCUGCGCGCCUGGGCGGGAUGAUCCCACGCCGGAGCGGGCGGUCGCGAGGUGCGGGCCCCUCGAAGGAGGGGUUCUGACUCUUGAUUGCCGAACCGGGUGAGGUCCGGGAGGGAGCAACCCUAAGGUGACACGGCCACGCUGCUCCGUCUACGUGCGGGACCGCCCGUGGCGUGAGACUGGGGGAGGUCGGGGUGGUGAACUCCGACGGGUCCGCCA
Molecule: signal recognition particle RNA, 310 nt
Filed under: Nitrososphaerota archaeon
Lineage: Archaea; Thermoproteati; Nitrososphaerota
Description: signal recognition particle sRNA
Rfam family: Archaeal signal recognition particle RNA
Source: RNAcentral